AUGGUGGUAACGGGUAACGGGGUGUUAGGGCACGACACCGGAGAGGGAGCCUGAGAAACGGCUACCACAUCCAAGGAAGGCAGCAGGCGCGCAAAUUACCCAAUCCCGACAUGGGGAGGUAGUGACAAUAAAUAACAAUACAGGGUUCUUUUGGAUCUUGUAAUUGGAAUGAGUACAAUUUAAAUCUCUUAACGAGGAACAAUUGGAGGGCAAGUCUGGUGCCAGCAGCCGCGGUAAUUCCAGCUCCAAUAGCGUAUAUUAAAGUUGUUGCAGUUAAAAAGCUCGUAGUUGAAUUUCGGGAUCAAGGGAUCGGUCAUGCCUUGGUAUGUACUGGUUUUAUUGGUUCUCACCUUCUAAAGAACCAUGAUGUCAUUCAUUUGAUGUUAUGGGGAAUUAGGACUGUUACCUUGAAAAAAUUAGAGUGUUUAAAGCAAGCUUACGCUUGAAUACAUUAGCAUGGAAUAAUGAAAUAGGACGUCAGAUUCUAUUUUGUUGGUUUCUAGGAUCGAUGUAAUGAUUAAUAGGGAUAGUUGGGGGCAUUAGUAUUCAAUUGUCAGAGGUGAAAUUCUUGGAUUUAUUGAAGACUAACUACUGCGAAAGCAUUUGCCAAGGAUGUUUUCAUUAAUCAAGAACGAAAGUUAGGGGAUCGAAGACGAUCAGAUACCGUCGUAGUCUUAACCAUAAACUAUGCCGA
RNAcentral lists this ribosomal RNA (694 nucleotides) under uncultured Glomeromycotina. RNAcentral describes it as "SSU rRNA". It matches the Rfam family "Eukaryotic small subunit ribosomal RNA", at positions 346 to 1045 of the family's 1831-position model. The record is from RNAcentral. Lineage: Eukaryota; Fungi; Glomeromycota.